UUUCUUCAGCAGUACAGAUACUAAAAUUGGAAUGAUGCAGGGUUAGCAAGGCCCCUGAGAAAAGCUAACACAUAAGGUUUUGAAACAGUCCACAUUUAA
This 99-nucleotide small nuclear RNA is filed under the name Nannospalax galili (Upper Galilee mountains blind mole rat). Lineage: Eukaryota; Metazoa; Chordata; Mammalia; Rodentia; Spalacidae. The record is from RNAcentral.